This 806-nucleotide ribosomal RNA is filed under the name uncultured bacterium. Its description in RNAcentral is "bacterial SSU rRNA". It matches the Rfam family "Bacterial small subunit ribosomal RNA", at positions 8 to 796 of the family's 1533-position model. The record is from RNAcentral.
AGAGUUUGAUCAUGGCUCAGAACGAACGCUGGCGGCGUGCCUAACACAUGCAAGUCGAGCGCGAAUGGAGUAAUCCUAGUAGAGCGGCGCACGGGUGCGUAACACGUGGGUAAUCUGCCUGGAAGAUCGGGAUAACCUGCCGAAAGGCUGGCUAAUACCGGAUAAUCCUCUGGGAUCUUCGGAUCCUGUAGGAAAAGAUGGCCUCUGUAUACAAGCUAUCACUUCUAGAUGAGCCCGCGGCCCAUCAGCUAGUUGGCGGGGUAAUGGCCCACCAAGGCGACGACGGGUAGCUGGUCUGAGAGGACGAUCAGCCACACUGGAACUGAGACACGGUCCAGACUCCUACGGGAGGCAGCAGUGGGGAAUUUUGCGCAAUGGGCGAAAGCCUGACGCAGCAACGCCGCGUGUGUGAUGAAGGUCUUCGGAUUGUAAAGCACUUUCGACCGGGACGAAAUACUGUUGGCUAAUAUCCAGCAGCUUGACGGUACCGGGAGAAGAAGCACCGGCUAACUCUGUGCCAGCAGCCGCGGUAAUACAGAGGGUGCAAGCGUUGUUCGGAAUUAUUGGGCGUAAAGCGCGUGUAGGCGGCUUUGCAAGUCGGGUGUGAAAGCCCUCAGCUUAACUGAGGAAGUGCGCCCGAAACUGCGGAGCUUGAGUACCGGAGAGGAUGGCGGAAUUCCCCAAGUAGAGGUGAAAUUCGUAGAUAUGGGGAGGAACACCGGUGGCGAAGGCGGCCAUCUGGACGGAUACUGACGCUGAGACGCGAAAGCGUGGGUAGCAAACAGGAUUAGAUACCCUAGUAGUCC